UAAUACGUAGGGGGCGAGCGUUGUCCGGAUUUAUUGGGCGUAAAGGGUGCGCAGGCGGCCUUUUAAGUCAGGUGUGAAAUCCCACGGCUCAACCGUGGUAAGCACUUGAAACUGGGAGGCUUGAGUUAAGGAGAGGAAAGUGGAAUUCCUAGUGUAGCGGUGAAAUGCGUAGAUAUUAGGAGGAAUACCAGUGGCGAAGGCGACUUUCUGGACUUAUACUGACGCUGAGGCACGAAAGCGUGGGGAGCGAACAGG
RNAcentral lists this ribosomal RNA (255 nucleotides) under uncultured archaeon. RNAcentral's name for it is "partial 16S ribosomal RNA". It matches the Rfam family "Bacterial small subunit ribosomal RNA", at positions 521 to 776 of the family's 1533-position model. The record is from RNAcentral.